RNAcentral lists this unclassified non-coding RNA (5119 nucleotides) under Portunus trituberculatus (swimming crab). Its description in RNAcentral is "f-box only protein 33-like, transcript variant X1". Lineage: Eukaryota; Metazoa; Arthropoda; Malacostraca; Decapoda; Portunidae. The record is from RNAcentral.
GUACACCGUUAAAGGACACCUGUUAUCUGUACACGUAAUACUGAUACAGGCGUGUAGCAAUGUAGGGCAUCACACUUAUCUUUUUACUACCUGCACACUGACGUAACAAGACUAAGAUAUAUUCUGAUGCUUCCACCUCCACUAGACCAAAAAGAUGAAAAUUUAAUACAUUCUAGUGAACUGCAUUUCCUUACACUGGGUAGUUAUUACAGUAGUUAGUUAAAUGGCUCAAGUGGUAAUUAGCGAGAUGAAGUGUCACUUUCUCCUCCCAAACAGUGCCGAAGCGAGCAACUAUUCACUCAAUCCUUUUGUUAUUCACUUCACGCAAAUAUUUUACUGACGUAUUUUCUAAAAAAAAAAGGGUAAAUCCUAUUGUUAGGUAUGUUACCAGAGUUCUCUGUAUGUAGAAAACAUUAAUUCUAAAUAUAGAUUGUCGCCUAUUUUCCGCUGCGCCAUAGCGGCUAUGACAGUCUAACGGGUAGGCGGUGAUGACGUCUUCUGUCUAGUCCGUCUGGUGUGCACUGCAACCUAAUCUUAAUCAAUAGGGAGUCAUAUAGUGAUAAGUUAUGGCCAGAUUACCUAUGUGCAAAAAGCAAAACAAGACCUUAUAUGACACGUUGUGGUAGAUCAGGGGUGUCGCAUGCUAGACGUGGCAGCACCGCUAUCGUUAGUAAACAUGUCGACACAGACACAAUGGCACUGGAACCUGCUGCCUAGCGUUAUAUUGAUAGAAAUCCUCGCCUACCUCCCUUUGUCUGACAGAAUUAGUGCUUGUUCCACGUGCAAGGCGUGGCGCUCUGCUCUGUUCCACCCAAGCUUUUGGCGCAGGAUUGAGCUGGUGUUUGUGGCGGGCGAGUGGCGGCGGCUGGAGCGGUCAAGGUUUGUGGCCUCUUGGGCUGCUAGGAAACUACGGUCUUGUGUCAUUCACUUUGAGACGGUCAACACCAACUGCCUGGUGGAAGUCGAUCACGUGCUUCUCAAGAUCACUAGGAACCCACAAGUGGAAGAACUUAUACUACUCCCAAGCCACUGCCACACCUUCACCAAAGGCCAUGACCGACCUUACUACUUACGUCACAACAACAAUAACAACAAUAACAACAAAAAUAAUGCCAGUCAUCCACGGUGUCUUCCCUGUUCAAGAUCAUCCUACCAAUUCAUUGAAAGUGCCCAGGAGUCCCUGCAGAGCAUCAUCGGCAACAGCAGAAAUUUGCGCACCCUUGUUCUGGGCUGCAUCCAGGAUCUGACAGACCAGGCAGAUAUAUUUCUUCCUCUCCUGGCACAUCACCAGUUCAAUUCAAUCUCCACUCUUGGGCUGGCCUCAGUGAAGUAUGACCCAAACUCCUAUGCCCUGUUGGACAUACCACCGGACAACUUUGCCUCCUUCACAACUUUACAGGUAUUAACAUUAGAUUAUGACUACAUGAGUGACCGGCUCCUGGGUGUGCUGGCGACACCCUAUACCUGUCCCCUGCGGCGCCUGGUGCUACAUGUCCAUGGCAUUGACCAGACCCACCAGGGCACCUCAGAGUACAUGUGGUAUUGCUUCAAGCAGCAGCAUCCUCAGUGCUCACUGGUGGUUACUCUGAUGCACUCCUAUGAUGGGGUGGAACAGCUGGGAUCAGGUCUGCUGCACCCUUCCAUGCCCCUCACCCACUUCAGGGCCUUCUUCUGUGAAUGGAUCAACAUCGCAGCACUGCGUUUGAUGAGUAACUGGUACAGUGAGACAUUGCGGCACCUGAUGUGGGUGGACUCCCUGGACCACAGUGGCUGGGGAAUGCUGACUGAAGGCCGAGAUGAGGACCAAGAAACUCCAGAUCCUCUUGUCAUGCUGGCCUGGAAGUGCAAGCACCUAGAACAUCUCACAUUGUUUGGCUACGGAUAUGGUGGCAGCGACAUCGUGGCCAUUGCAAGGCUCCGAGGUCCUGGGCUGAAGAAGCUGUGGAUCCCAGAAGACUGUCUGGAGGCAGAUGAGUCCCAUGAACUAGCUAAUGAGGAGGAUGUUGACAACAUUGCUGAGGACGUUUCUGCUGGUUUGGGAAGGACUUGGCGACCACUAACACUCUCGGAGCUGCAUCCCUGUGUACGCACAGCUAACAGUUCGGAUACUGACCAGUAUAUUCUACCAAUUGUUCUCUCGGACACUAUAUUGAGUUGAGAACACAAAGAAGCCACCAAACCCUGCAAAGGGAAGUAGCCAAGGCAAGGUGCCAUGUGCACACACAUCUGAAUAACAAAGACAAAUACAGGGCCACCAAACUAACCUGGUGCCUCCACAGAAGCUCUUGAACAAAAGCACAAAUGUUGGCCUGGACUACAUAACUCUUCCUAUACAUCCUAACUUUUCACUCAGUAAGAAGGUGCAGGUAAUGUGUGAAGCAAUUGGAAUGACCAAUGAAAAAUCUUGGGAAAGAUUCUGUAAUCCUUAACUUUUCACAAAGUACUGCACCUGCAUUCUUGUUUUUCUAUUGUAUGGUUAGGUUUCCUCUCUAUGAUAUGAACUAGCAGAACUCAAUAUGUGAUAGUAAACAAUACUGGGGACAUGCCCAUUUAUUUUGUAAGGGUCAUGGCUAUAUCUGUAGGAUAGAAUUUCAGAGGAUACCCCCAUCUAAUAUAUUUUUACUGGUAUAUAAUUUCCUUUGAGGUACUUGGGUGGCCUUUGUGUUUGCUAUAAAAUCAAUCUUCAGUUGUAUUGUCAUCUUAACAUUGGGCAGGAUGACUUGGCCUGUGUCUGUAUGCAGACCUCACUUCCUUCAGGUCUUUACCAUCAGUGAUGCCAUAUUAGGUUAUCAUCUUUUGAGGUACCUAGCUUUCUUUACAUUAUAUGAAGUAGUUUAUCUAUACACUUUUAUGUUGAUGUGUUAUACAGAUUGAUUAUCAAAGAAUUAUUCUAUUUUUCAUAUAUUGUUUGUCUAUUUCUAGAUGCUAACAUACUUCUUACAUAUGUGUCAGUUAAAGUUUUUAUUUUGCAUUAUCUUGAAUACUAUAACUAGAAUUUUCAACUAGCUACUUAACUUUACUACUUUUUAUGUAAGACCAUCUAUGGGGUACUUUGAGGCAUUUUGAUCACCUGGCUUUACCACUCUCACAAGGUGAGGCAUCUCCCCUCACCAGGUAUGUUCCCCCCCUCCCCCCCAACCAGCCACAUGCUGUGGCUACCACCACUCUUCUGGUGAAGACAGUCACCUAAGAGAUGUAUGGUGUCUUAUAUCCAAAGGUAGAUGAAAUCAUUAUAUCCCUUGAGCCACCAGGUCAGUUUUUUGUAUACUACUUUUUUUUUUUUUUUUUUUUUUCUCUCAUUCUGGAACUUAUUUUUUUAAAAGCUGUCACAUGAAUGGCCAAUGUUUUUUUCAAAAAUGGAGACAAGUACAUCCUAUCAUAAUUCCUAUUCUUAUAUAUCUGUAUCAUAUUUAGUUUUAAACUUUGUUAGGUAUGGAUUAUUGGUUUUAUUUCUAGAGAAGUCAAUUAGAGAUUUAUUUUUCCUUAUUUUGAAUUGAUAUUUUAAAAGUAUUAUUGUGAUUUGAAAUGCACAAAUAUAUUAUUUGUUUUCUAAAGUGAACCUCAGCAAGGUAAGAAGGGCUUUACCUGCAUUAGGAACUAAUGAUUCCACUACAUAAGUAAGUGGCAAUUGAUCAUCUCCAUGAUCCAUCUUGUUUCUGUGAUACUGUUCUUGCAACAUGUUAUAGCAUGUUGCAGCACUCAAUGUGAAGUAGACUAUUAAUUGUGUAAAGCACUAAGGACAUGGACCAAAAGAUUCCACACAAGCAGAACAAAACUAUUGGAAUGUUGGCAUAUCAUUUGAUUUUGUAUGAUCAUUAUAGGUUUGUAAUUAUAUCAUUAGGUGUUACAGUGUAAAAAAGUGUGUUCUUAUGGUUUUGAAUUGCUUCAGAGUAAUGCUAACACUUUUUAAAUAUAUACACUAUGCCAAUCAGAUGUUGGCUCAGUGUUUCUGUGUAAUAUUUAUUGAAUGUGAAAAUGUUGGUAUUGCUCACUAAAAUUUUAGACACAUCAAACAAAAAUAGUCAACACAUUACUUGUCACCUAUCAUCCAGCCUCUCCAGCCUCCAAAGUAAGACCAAGUUAGCUUGGGCAUGCACUCUUUCAUGCUACUGACUGUACCAAAUGUACCUUUACCAUGAGUUAUGCCACAAAGGUGCUUUAUGAGCCUUUAUAAAGUUACAAUUAUUAGCAUGUAGCUUAUAAAAUAGCAGGAAAGAGAAUUGUCUUUUUGUGUAUGCAGUAAGGUGAGCUCCUUCGUAAGUGGGGAUUGCCUCUCAUAUUUGGAAUCAAUCAGAAUCCUACAUUAGCCAAGAUCACAGCUGCAACAUUCACCUUACUUCAUAGUGACUGGACAUUGUCUGAUAUGUAAGCUGAGUCACACUUAGACAUGUCAUUAAACUGUGUGGCUGAGACCAUCUUGAGAAAUAUACUUGAGAUACAUGGGUAUCCAUGUAUAUUUCAAAAACUGGCUGAAGAAGUAACAGUUGAAAACAUCCUAGAGUGGUGUGGUAUUAUAAAGUAUGCAGGCCCUUAGCCUUUCUGAUUAGUAUCAAUAGUUUACUAUUUUCUCCCUCCUUGUGCAUGGUUUCUUCACCUUUUAUUGUUCGGAACAUCCCUGACUGGCCCUUCCCUUUCUUUCUCUUUCCAUUAUUAUAAUGUUGGCAAUAUUGAGUCAAUUUAUUCAGUCUUUUUUCUUAAAACAAGUGCUUCAAACUUCUUAAUCUAUAUUUAAUUUUUGUUUUUUUCUAUUUCUCUUCAACUCAAUGUAUAAGUAAUUAAUAGUCUGUGUUCAAUUUCCUUUAAAAUUUUCUGAUGAUCAGAUCAUACUCACCAUAACUUAUCUCUAUAUUUCCUCAUCAUUAGUAUUAAAUGCAUGUUUUUAUUUAUCAAAUUUGUUUCCUCCUUAAACAUUAUUUAUCUUUCUGGUAAUGUUAUGCACCAUCACUGAGAAUUUUGUUUUGUAAUACCUAUUUUUCACUCCCCUCAUAAUUCAGUGUGUGUGUGUGUGUGUGUGUGUGUGUGUGUGUGUGUGUGUGUGUGUAUUUACCUAUUUGUAUUUACCUAUUUGUGUAUUACAGGGCCCGAGCUAAGCUCUCUGUGUCCUGUCUCCUUGUCCAUU